This 367-nucleotide ribosomal RNA is filed under the name uncultured Streptococcus sp. RNAcentral describes it as "bacterial SSU rRNA". It matches the Rfam family "Bacterial small subunit ribosomal RNA", at positions 1 to 354 of the family's 1533-position model. Lineage: Bacteria; Bacillati; Bacillota; Bacilli; Lactobacillales; Streptococcaceae. The record is from RNAcentral.
AAUUCGCCCUUAGAGUUUGAUCCUGGCUCAGGACGAACGCUGGCGGCGUGCCUAAUACAUGCAAGUAGAACGCUGAAGAGAGGAGCUUGCUCUUCUUGGAUGAGUUGCGAACGGGUGAGUAACGCGUAGGUAACCUGCCUGGUAGCGGGGGAUAACUAUUGGAAACGAUAGCUAAUACCGCAUAAAAUUGAUUAUUGCAUGAUAAUUAAUUGAAAGAUGCAAUUGCAUCACUACCAGAUGGACCUGCGUUGUAUUAGCUAGUUGGUGAGGUAACGGCUCACCAAGGCGACGAUACAUAGCCGACCUGAGAGGGUGAUCGGCCACACUGGGACUGAGACACGGCCCAGACUCCUACGGGAGGCAGCAG